Molecule: long non-coding RNA, 725 nt
Filed under: Vigna radiata
Lineage: Eukaryota; Viridiplantae; Streptophyta; Magnoliopsida; Fabales; Fabaceae
Description: long non-coding RNA (VRAD_LNC018616)
Source: RNAcentral
UAUUGAUAUGGGGACGUACAGUAAUGACAUGAACUGGUGAGUAAUUCCUUGAUUUUGCAAUACCACCUAGGGAUAGGGGUAGGACGAUCAAUUGCUUUUAACUUCCGUUUAUAAUGUUGUAUUAAUUGCUAGGGGAGGCUAGGGAUAGCAAACCAGUAAUUAAUAUUAGGCUCUUUUCGCCGAGGGAUCGGGUUAAGGGUAGGCUAAGAAAGUUGCAUAACAAAUAAUUAAUCAAACUAAUAUUCAAGAGGAGUAGAUAAGAGACGGCGGAUUAGAUGAAAUUGUAAACCCCCAGCAACAUCCAUUCAUCCAUUGUUUUCUUUUGUCAAUUGAAUCAACUUUAUUUUGCUUGUUAAUAUUUUUGUUCUCAAAUCCAAUUUGUUAAUUUUUAUUUUCAAGUCUUACUAUUUUAAUUCACGUGAACGAGAAAGUCUUUCGAGUCUCUUGGGAAAACGAUACUUGGUCUUACCAUUUAUAUUACUUGUACGAUUUGGUACGCUUGCCAAUCCGUCAACAGCCAUCUCCCUAAAAGUCCUCUCACGAGGUGGAGGAGGUUGUGCCAUAUUGUUCUCAGUGUGAAAAAUAACAGAAUCAGAAUCAGAAUCAGGUGCAGAUGCAACAUAUGCAGUAGAUGCAGUAUGCACAAAGUACUCAACAGUGGAUUCAGAUUCAGCAGUAGGAUAAACAAUAUCUAAUGGAACAGACUCAAAAACAGACUCUAAAGA